RNAcentral lists this long non-coding RNA (8662 nucleotides) under Triticum aestivum (bread wheat). RNAcentral describes it as "long non-coding RNA (TAES_LNC013113)". The stretch from base 8281 to 8367 matches the Rfam family "MIR1120/MIR1122 microRNA precursor family". Lineage: Eukaryota; Viridiplantae; Streptophyta; Magnoliopsida; Poales; Poaceae. The record is from RNAcentral.
CAAACCAAAAGGGAGAUUCAUUCAUUGCAGGAGUAGCCUAGUUUGGUUCAAAACUGAAACAUACUACUUGUCUGAAGCUGGUCCCAAGUUGCUUGCUAUGACAAGACAGUACAUGCAAGAUAUACUCAGGAAUACAUAUAUGCCUCCAAUGGGAAGAGGCCCCAGAUCCUCUUGGGAAUCGGCAGGAAGAAAACAAUCAUCGUAGAAAGAAACUAUCACGUACAGCUUCCUUCAGUAGAUCAGCCAGAGUCCUCACCAUUCUCUUCGCUUCCCUUGUACUGACAAAAUAGCAUGAUGCCCUUGCCUUCGUUGUCAGCGACGUCAUCAGCACCCUGUGCCUUAGCAGCGAUCAGCGAAGCCUGCAACAAGAUCCAGGAUUUCAAUUUCGUAGCCGCAAAUUGCCAUAAAGUAAGUCCUAAAUGGUUACAAACCAUCAGUUAGCUUCAUUCAGUUCUGAGGUACUCAUUGGUCAGCUACGAACAAAUUAAAGUACAUGUAGUGGUAUACAAUACUUAAUUCAAUUAGCUAACCUGGAUGGUAAGCGCCAAGUUAUCCUAAUCUAGUAGUAUUGUAUACUGUUGUCUCAUUUUCCACGCCUGGUCAAGAUGACCUCAUAGAGGAAAGGAGGGGGAUGAUACAUAAAUUAGGCCCAAGAUAAUAGCAACCAUGUAUUCAGACUGCAAUGAUAAGAUUCCUCAAUUGGCUUACUCUCUAGUCUCUACACAUCUCCCCUAACUACCUCACACACACCCUAAAGACCAUGAUUGAAAUAUUUCCUUAAUUGGCUUGCUCUCCUUAACUGACUUGCUACAAAAAAAUAAGAUCCAUUUGGAAUGUGAGUUCAACCGACUUAAUUCGAGUUCAAGGCCAAGGAAAUAUAAAUAAGUGGGAAUGUCUUUAGCAUAAGAUCUGUAAGAAACUUAUAACAAUUUCUUAGGCAAUUAAUAAGUUUUAGCAUGCAGUGCACAACAGCGUGAAGAUACAAACUUACUUUUACGAGGGAAGCAUCCUGAUCUAUUCCCAAGGCCUCCAACUGAAGCUCUGAAGGCACAUACUGAAGAGCAACCUGAUCUUGUACCUAUUAUCUCAUACUCCCUCUGUCCCAAAAUAAGUGUCUCAAGCUUAGUACAACUUUGUACUAAAGCUAGUACAAAGUUGAGACACUUAUUUUGGGACGGAGGGAGUAUAAGCGUCCAUACCAAUAUGUUUGUUGAGCUCAUGCUUUUACCAGAUCUCAAGAAAUACCAAUAGCACAUGUGUUGUUAGACAAAAGAGGAGUCAAUGUAGUAACAAAAAGACAAAAAUCCUCAAGUAACCACCAUAAUCAAGUCACCUCUGUCACAAGAGCCAUAGCUUGCAACCAUGGCCUCUGCUCAAACGGGAAAUUGCAAUAUGUUUCUUUGUCUUCCUGGCAAUGAGAAACUAACUAAGAAAAGACACAUUAAGCAGAAAGUGGCCAGAGAUUCGAAAGAUAUGUACAACCCGAAGGAGGUGACCCAGAACGCGAACUGGAUAGGAGAUGCUAGAUAGAAGAGGCAACUAACAAGAUGACGAUAGUGAGUCAGAUCAUAAGGAGGCUCGCCAUCAGAAGCUCGGAGGUGAACAUUAAGAAAACUGAAUCUGUUUACCAAGUUUACAACCCUAACAUAGAGCAUCUACAACCAGAAUGUACCCCUUCCAUUCCAAAUUAUAAGAUCUUAUAAAAAAAUGAGAAUCGGAUGUAUAUAGACGCGUUUUAGUGUGUUUGUUCACUCAUUUCAGUCUAUGUAGACCAUAUUGAAAUAUCCAAAACAUCUUAUAAUUUGGAACGGAGGUAGUACUAAUUUGAGCCCCUAUAUAUCCUCGGACGUGUCCGGUCACCCCUCAAAUGUCCGCGUCCACAGCCGUCCCCCUCAUAUGCUAACCCCCAAAUCCAUGCAAUGCAUGCAACGUGAAAAUAGCAAGACGUAGAUCAACAUAAAUAGGACAGGACAUACCAAGUUCGACAUAGCAAGACAUAGAUUGUUCGAUAGCAUGUUCAACAUAGCUACAUAGCAAAAUACGAUAGCAAACUACUAGUAGAUGCUAGUAGAUACGGAGGGGAUGCCAGACUUAUCGCUAGUUUGGUUACUACAUCGACUCCUCUUUUGUAGAUACAGAGGGGAUGCCAGACUUAUACCAGGCCAGGCGUGCAGUUGAUUCCCCAGAUCACCAACCAAACAAUGCACAGGCGGCUCCAUGCGCUCUCCAGGCAAGGCACUUCAACUCAAGGACGAGAACCAAACACGCUCUUAACCACUUCCUCGUUGGUCGCUUCCACUUGGGGUCUCCGAAGCAGCGGUUGUAGUCUUCGGCGUAGGCGUCGAUGGCAGGAGGGGAGUCAUCGCCGUUGUUGGUUCUUCCGCUGUCAGAUGAAGAGGAGAAACGGAUCCCGACCACACGCCAAGCAGCGCGGGCCUGCUCCUUAGUGAGUCGGGCGGCUUAUGCCACGGCCGCCGCCUUCUGUUUCGCGAGGCGCUCGGACUUCUCGAUGCCAAUCCGGAGCGCCUUCGCAUUUUUGCCACAACCGCGGCGGUGAGCGUCUGCCUCCACCGAGGUGAAGGACCGGCGGAUGCGUAGNNNNNNNNNNNNNNNNNNNNNNNNNNNNNNNNNNNNNNNNNNNNNNNNNNNNNNNNNNNNNNNNNNNNNNNNNNNNNNNNNNNNNNNNNNNNNNNNNNNNNNNNNNNNNNNNNNNNNNNNNNNNNNNNNNNNNNNNNNNNNNNNNNNNNNNNNNNNNNNNNNNNNNNNNNNNNNNNNNNNNNNNNNNNNNNNNNNNNNNNNNNNNNNNNNNNNNNNNNNNNNNNNNNNNNNNNNNNNNNNNNNNNNNNNNNNNNNNNNNNNNNNNNNNNNNNNNNCUCGAGCGCGGAUCUGCACCACCACCAACCAGGCCGGCUGAAGGCCUGCGCGGCCCUUUUGCCUUCCGUAGCGAGCGACCCGCACCUUCAACUCAGGCAGCCAUGGCAGCAGGCUCUACAGUGCGGGCACGAGCACCCAGCGCCUCUCGGGAGAAGCAAGGGCUAGAGGUGCCAGGCACCACUAGUCGCCCCACCACAUGAAAGGGGAGGGCACGGACAGCGAUGUGCGGCUUCAGGCCAAUGCGGAGCUGCCCCUUCGAUCGCGGAGCUUGAGUUCCCGCUCCUAUCCAUCCAUGAACGGCGAAGGGCAAUGCGGAGGAUGUGCUCCUCGUCGUCCGGGGCGAAGGAGCUAGAUUCCUCCUUGAGCGCCCCCCAGACGAUGGAGUACGACUCGUUGCCGGAUCCGUUGCUGGAGUUGGACAUGGUGUGGGGAGGGGAGGGGACACGAAGUGGACGGAACUACGGAAGGAGACAAGCAGUGGAGCGGAGUAGUCAAGACUAGACUAGGGUUUUGUCCAGGGUGGGGUAUUUGUGGGGUCAGACUAGGCCAGUCCGACGUGGGGGCCGCGUCCGGACCGCCCCACAUUUGGACUAGGUAUGGGCUGGGUAUAGGCGAGUGGUUGGGUGGCGAAUUCGUGACCAGACAAUGAUCGGGUUGUCCCCCCGAACGUUUAGCAGGGGUUUGAGGAGCCUAGUUGUAGAUGCUCUAAGGAUGCCCCCUGAGGCAUACCACAGAAGACCAUGAACUAAAAGGAGGUGCAAGCGAUAUCCUCACCUCCUCCCUCGCCCCCUUACAUUGAUUUUUACUCUUCAUGCCCUCCUUGGUUUGGAAUAAUCAAAACCACAUCGAUACGUUCCUUUCCUUGUCCUAUUGGAAACCAUAUCAUGCAUUAACUCAACCAAAUCUUACCAUAACCAUGUCCCGCAUCAACUCAAUCAAAUUAUAUCUUAUCAAAACCUGAAAUAAAUCAAAACUUUCCUUGCCUUCCCUUACCCUUACCCAACUAAAAUCAAAUCUUAACAAGACCUCGACUAAAUCAAAUCUUUCCUUACCAUCCCCUACCCAUACUCAAAUCAAAUCAAAUCUUACCACAAUCUAGAAUAUGAUGGGCGUAAGGUAUAUGUCGGACAUGAUUGUUAUUGAACCAGUAUAACAUGUAUGCCCCGUUGCAACACAUGGGCAAGUAGCUAGUAGUAUUCAGUGUAGCACUAAAGAAAGCUCUAUUAAACCAGCACCAUGCAGAUGAGUCUCCUCUACGUGUAUCUAUGUGAGUGCCUUCAGAAGAGACAUGGAGCACACUCACAAAGAGUUGGGCAUGUCGUGGCUCAAACUCCUUACAGAGCCACAUCAAGAACUCGGAAAUUUGUUGGAACUCCAGGUCAACACAAACAACCACGCAACAAAAGCACGUGUGACAACCAGCAAUGCAAAGAUAAUCCAACUGACGCUGAAUAGCAGAACUCUAAGCGUAGAACUCAUCAACAGAGGCAUCAUCCUGCUGAAGUUUUGCCCCUGCGGACUGGUAAAUGGCAUCACCAGCCUGUUGGUAUCGCUGACGAAGGUGAGUCCAUAUGAUGAAGGCCGAAAGAGUCACACAAUCUCAUAAGAAAACUGAGGCAGGACAUUCACGACGAAGACGGACACAACACGAGCAAGAGCAUCACCAUCAAGCCACUGAGUGUAGGCAGUUAGCUGGUGGCGGUAAGAGUCCACAGCCUCCACUAAGACUGGGCAGCCAAUUGAUCACUGAUCACGGCAAGAGUUCGAAUCUUUUUCAUAGUUGGGAAAAUCUAACGAGGGGCGUGCGCAUCCUCACCCUCCCGUGCGGCGGGGCGCUGAGAUCCGUGCCUGCGCAUCGCGUGGUUCAGCGAAACGGAAGUAGCGCACACAUCAAGCCCACAGGAUGCUUAGUAUCUAGCAUUGUCUUCCCUGCCGCUCUUCUAUCCCCCCUCCCCUCUCUCUCCUCUAUCCCUUUAUUUCUUCAGCAAGAUCACUCCUCCAUACUGGAGGUAGCUCGUGCCUGCUCUGAUGCGAGCGCGCCUCGGCUUCCAGUGAGCGCAAUCCACGCUCCUUUCUCUCUGUUUUGCAUCACUGUUUUUUGCGGUGUUUUGUUUACAGACUUCAUGGGGUGAUCUUAAUCACCCGCGAGCUAGACGACGAAGGGAUAGAAUGGGGCCCGGGACUCCAGGAGGUGCCACGGGAUCUCUCAGUCACAUGUAUGCGAGCGCUAGGGAUUUUUGACAAGGGGAAGACACGGGCACGAGAAUGGCAAGGUCGGCAACCAGUAUGGCAACUGAUACACCAAAUCUAGAAAGUAGAGACAACUAAUCUGGAAAUUACCCGUACAAAAAAUUCAUUUUUGGUAACUUGACACAAUUAAUUUGGAAAUUAGUACAACCAAUCUGGCAAUUAGAGAUAACUAAUCUAGAAACUAGGUGCAGGUGAGUACAUCAAAUCCAUCUUCGACAACUUGAGACAAUUAAUUUGGAAACCGAUACAGCGAAUCUGGCAUUUAGAGACAACUAAUCUGGAAAUUAGGUGUGGGUGAGUAUAGCAAAUCCAUCUUUGGCAACUUGAGGCAAUUAAUUUGGAAAUUGAUGAAGCUAUUAUGGUAACCAGGGGAAAUAGGCAUGUACAGCAGAUCCCAUCUCCGUAAUUUUUGGCACAAUUACUCUAAAAAUUAAUACUACUAAUCUGGCAACAACAACAACAACAAAGCCUUUAGUCCCAAAUGUUAGGGAAGCAACUUAUCUCUAUUGAAAGACCAUAGGGCAUAUAUAUAUUACAUAAGACUUUAGGUGCAAGGAAAGUAAACAUAGACUAAUAGGACUCCUAAACCAAUACUAUUAGUUCCUAACACCAAACAAGUCGGGGUAGGCUAGAGGUGAAACCCAUAAGAUCUCGCGACCAACUCAUGGCUCUGGCACAUAGAUAGCAAGCUUCCACGCACCCCUGUCCAUAGCUAGUUCUUUGGUGAUACUCCAAUCCUUCAGGUCUCUCUUAAUAGACUCCUCCCAUGUCAAAUUCGGUCUACCCCGACCUCUCCUGACAUUCUCCGCCCGCUUUAGCCGUCCGCUAUGCACUGGAGCGUCUGGAGGCUUGCGCUGAAUAUGCCCAAACCAUCUCAAACAAUGUUGGACAAGCUUCUCUUCAAUUGGUGCUACCCCAACUCUAUCUCGUAUAUCAUCAUUCCGGACUUGAUCCUUCCUCGUGUGGCCACACAUCCAUCUCAACAUACGCAUCUCUGCCACACCUAACUGUUGAACAUGUCACCUUUUAGUCGGCCAACACUCAGCGCCAUACAACAUUGCGGGUCGAACCGUCAUCCUGUAGAACUUGCCUUUUAGCUUUUGUGGCACUCUCUUGUCACAGAGAAUGCCAGAAGCUUGGCGCCACUUCAUCCAUCCGGCUUUGACUCGAUGGUUCACAUCUUCAUCAAUACCCCCAUCCUCCUGCGACUUUGACCCCAAAUAUCGAAAGGUAUCCUUCUGAGGCACCACCUACCCAUCAAGGCUAACCUCCUCCUCCUCACACCUAGUAGUACUGAAACCGCACAUCAUGUACUCGGUUUUAGUUCUACUAAGACCCUUUCGGUUCCAAGGUAUGUCUCCAUAACUCUAACUUCCUAUUUACCCCCGUCCGACUAUCAUCAACUAGCACCAAAUCAUCCGCAAUGAGCAUACACCAUGUGAUAUCUCCUUGUAUAUCCCUUGUGACCUCAUCCAUAACCAAGGCAAAAAGAUAAGGGCUCAAAGCUGACCCCUGAUUAUCCUAUCUUAAUCGGGAGGUCAUCAACGUCGACAUCACUUGUUCGAACACUUGUCACAACAUUAUCAUACAUGUCCUUGAUGAGGGAAAUGUACUUUGCUAGGACUUUGUGUUUCUCCAAGGCCCACCACAUGACAUUCCGCGGUAUCUUAUCAUAGGCCUUCUCCAAGUCAAUGAACACCAUAUGCAAGUCCUCCUUUUGCUCCCUGUAUCUCUCCAUAAGUUGUCGUACCAAGAAUAUGGCUUCCAUGGUCGACCUCCCGGGCACGAAACCAAACUGGCAACUAGACUUAAUACAUCCACUGCUGAAUCAUGCAUUGCCUGAAUAUUAGAUCUUGUUUUACUUGACCAGAGACUUUUUUGUGUCCUUUUUUUUGUCUCUCCUUGGUGUUUUCUGGGGUCAUGCAACAUCAUCCACUGCUGAAUCAUGCAACAUCAUCAGCAACCUUAGCAGCAUGAGAGACAACCUUAUCAACAACAAACAUAGGGAGUGGUGAAGAUUCCACGGGGGCAACAGGGCACAACAGAUAAGAAAUCUUGCCAGAGUAUGCCCAGAGACGCAGACCACGCAAGGGAUGGAAAGGAAGCCCGGUGACAAAGAAAUUGCCUUCUUUUUACAAUGCUUAAAGGGAACCAAGCAAAAUCACAUGAUGUCAGACGAGCAUGGAACAGAGCAAGGACCGACCCACCAAGCAGCGGCAGCGGCACAGGCACCGCUGAAAAUCGGCAAGCAGGGGCACUGGCAGCCAGCUCCUACAACAACAACGGGAUCAUCGCAAAGACCGCAAUGGAGGCUAGCAGCUAGUGAGGAAGAGAGGUGGCGGGGCGCGGAUGCUUCGCUCUAGGACGGUGGCGGCUAGGGUGGGUUGGCGGCUGACGAGCAAGACACGUGGCAGGGCAGGCAUGCUUCGAUGUGGGGCCGCGGCAGCCAGUUCCUAGUACUCAGGCGGGUGGAUUUCCAUAAUUUAUUGUACCUUGAGCCAAUGGAGAGAAAUUCUAACCAUAAUGAACUUUUGCAAGUAAAUUUCCAAAUCCAACCACCAAUGUAGCCACCAAAAUUAGAAGUAACCUUUUCAAGGGAAGAGCCCUUGAAAAAGGUAAAUUUAACAAUAAUUUAGUAUCCAACUGAAUAGCAUAAUUUUACUUUUAGACUACUGUAUUACAAAACAAAUUAUAUUAUUACCAAAUUACAACCAUCAAAGCAGAAUAUAUACUGUGUUACAUACUUGUUUGUUACUCUAGUUUUGGCGGCAAUAUUUUCCACUAAAUGCUCCUAUUAACAUUCUUUGGAUGCUGAUGUGAGUUGGGCAUACAAUUGAGUCAAUCUCUUUUUAAAAACUAAGUCUUUAGAUGCUUUUUGUCCCAUAGCUUGGAGCUAAAUGACAAAAAUGUACCAAACUGGAGGUACAAUAGAAGAUAAAUGAAACAUAUUAAUUAAAAAGGAGAAAAAUGACUCAUGAUUACCAGAGCAUCUCUACCAUCAACUAACUUCCUUAUAAAUAACUAAACUAAGAAGCUAUUUACAUGCUCUACUAUCAACAAAAACAACAAAAGCCUUUAGUCCCCUUAGAAGACAUAAAUAUUUCCCCUUUAAGCAUAAAUUAGUGGAAAUGUCUAUAGCAUAAGAUCUGUUGUUAAAUACUCCCUCCGUCCCAUAAUAUAAGAGUGUUUUUGAUACUACACUAGUGUUAAAAACGCUCUUAUAUUAUGGGACGGAGGGAGUAUUAUGCAAGGAGAAACUCGGUGGAAUCAACAAAUAUUAGCAUGCAGUGCAGUAUGGUGUGAAUACACAAGCUUAUGUCAUCUAAUCUGCUAUGAGAUGCUAUAUUCCAUCAGUGAGAAAGAGUAGUACUAUCCGCCACUGGAAAGAUAUAAUGUGAAAUGAUGACAAUAAAAUAAGUAUGGACAAGAUUUUAAAAAUUGUGAUGUACCUAAGCCACUGGAGAGAAGUUCUGACCACAAUGGGCUUCUGUGAGCAUAUUUCUAAAUUCCACCACCAGUACUAGAAGUUUUGCAGACA